GUUUGAGUUGCUUCUCCAAAACUAUAUAGUGCUUCUUUAUCAAAACAGGAUCGCAAUAUUAAAAGACUUUGAGAGAAAAGACCUAAAGAUAACACACAGACAUCAUGUAAACACAUAAGUACACAAAGUAACGACAUUAAAGUGAGUGUCUGUUCUGUGAGUGAGUUCAGGUGACUCCAGCCACGAGGUUUCCAUUCCUCCCCCUUUAAUCAGCUGCAGGAUCUCUGUCAUUUACGCACAGCUCCACUCCUGAAUCCGCUCCUACAGUGUGCCACAGGUAACACACGAACCCGGUGGAGACUUACGAAACGGAAAAACAUUUUUUUUUUGCAGCGGUGAUCUAAUUAUUGCAGUCGGUCCAUUCCUGAGCCCCUCCCUCCUCUUUCCGGGUUACGCAUCAGAGCGCAGCGCUGCUGCCUGCGGUCCUCUUCCUCCCUCCCUCUCUCUCUCAGGCUCACAGCAGCGCCUUCCACUUUCUUCAAGCCUUUCUUCAUGAGUUCACAACGAACCAUGUGGCACAUUCAGUCGACUCGUGGAGAGCGAGGUUCGAGUAGGUGUUGGAUGUCGCGCCAGUCGUGCGUAAAAAACAUGUAACGACGCAGAAGAGGAUCGAUGUCCAGCAGCCCUCUCUGCCCCGCUCACGUCGGGUGUGACUUGGUGAAGCGAGGCGUGAGGCUGCUCUACCUGCGCGUGGAGCAAGGUGAGAAUUACAUUAUUAUACAGCCUGUAAUACUUUAUAUUCAAUGUAGAAUAAAAUGGGAGGUUAGAGAUCAGAAGGCAACAAUCUGGGAACUUAAAAAAACAAACAAUUUAUACCUUUUUUUAAAAGGUAUAUAUUUUUGCUGAUAAUAUCACGGUACAUUAUGAGCUGCUGAGCUGCAGAGACAGAAGUUUGGAGGAAGAUUUCUUUUUAAAUCUGCUUUAAUUUAUUUAAAAUUCAGCACACAGACUUCUGCUGAGAGGCUAAAGGUCUCAGCUGCUGCCAGGAAACGUAGACAUGCUUAUCAUCUGAUGCCAGGCUGUGAAGUGUAGGUGUGUCCAGCUCUCAGGUCUCUGUUAAUGCCUGAUGAGACUUUUGGUCAGAGAGAGUAUUUGUUUUUAUUUGGUAUAUAUAUUUAUUUGUGUAUUUAUGCUGUUUUUGUAUUUUAUUUUCAACGCGUGGAAAGAAAAUUCAGUUAGAAAGUCUGAAGAGACUCAUGAGAGAAGAAGAAGAAGCAAAACCUUUUACAAAGUAA
This 1235-nucleotide long non-coding RNA is filed under the name Sparus aurata (gilthead seabream). RNAcentral's name for it is "lncRNA (ENSSAUG00010001656.1)". Lineage: Eukaryota; Metazoa; Chordata; Actinopteri; Spariformes; Sparidae. The record is from RNAcentral.